UGGGUAUAUAAGAAAGGAAGAAAAAUGUAACUGUGGUUUUGCAAGUAAUUGUGUAUAGAAAAGCGGAAGGGAGGGAAUACUGCUUGCACAUACAGACCAGAAAAAGUUUCAUCUUACAGUUAAACCCAGGCAUGCAAACAGCGAUUAAGAACUAAAGUUACAUACACUAUUCACAAAUAAAAUUAGGAUGGGAUGUUUGGAAAAUUGAAGGUGUUGUCCCACCUCUCAGUGUACAAUGUUGCCCAAAAUGUUAUUGCCAAGGAGGUAAAUUUAAAAAGGUAAUGCUUUGAAUGUUGCUAGAUCAUCUCAUGCAAGCAUACUGAAGUCACUGAAGACGCAAACCCAACCAAGAUUCAUAAGCCCACAUGAACUAUCCAUGUAAAAUCAAUGGAAAGUUCAGGAUGCACUAUAAAUAUUAGAGCACAGGUCUUUUUAGACCUCUGUUCUUCUUUACAACAAACCUUGUUUUGCCUUGUCACACAUGCAUCAGGAAGUUCAGUAGCGUGGACAGGCAAAUAAUGUAGAUAUUAGCAAAAAGUAGACUGAAAAACACGAUACUGCACAGUAUUUUACUUCUUAUAUGGACAGGAAUCACAGCUUUGCCAAAGUAAUAAGAUGUACACUCUCUUAAAAAUGUGACUGUGCAUUGUACAGGGCAGUUGGAAGUGCAUAUAGAAUUGUACUGAAUAUAAUAAAAGCACAGACACAUUGCUUGUGGUCCAGAAAAGAGGCCUUUGGCAGUCUGUUUCUUGGUAUCAGCAAUUGAAUUUGAAUCCCUCCAUCAUUUUAAACUGGUGGCUUAUGAAAGAUUCGAAAAAAUACACUGAUUUCUUUAUAUGAAACAGAUGCAGCUUAGAUUUAAAUAUCAUGUAAAGCAAAACAUAUCCAAAUGAUAGCAAAUGCAAUUGUAUCUAACAGACAAGCAUGCGAUUAUUUAGAUAAACAGCAAAAAAAAACCCUGGAAUUUGCACAUUAAGUGGUAUCAAGUAAAAAUUCAAAACCAGUACUGCUCUCCAGCAAGAUUUCAAAUUAAUAACUGAAAAAAAAAACAAUAAUUGAAAGUGAGGUCUCAGAGGAAUGUGAAAAAACAGACAAGUUAGAGGAAAUUGCCAUCAAUUUAAGUAUACCAAAAUGCAUUUUUCAUUUUAAAAAACAAUAAAAGAUAUUAUAAGUCGUAAAACACCACUGAUCUUCCCUUUGCAGUCUUGGUUUGGAUUCUCCCCCAUGAAAUGGCACAUGAAAGAUGGUUGGAAUUAUUCAGCCAAAAAAGGAACAUGGUUUUUGUGAGAAAUGCUUUGGGUUUUCUGACCGGCUAUAAUGAAUAUUCAUCGUAGAUAUGAAACAUUUCCAAAAUCAGUUCCUGAAAAGAGAGGAUGUUGGCCAAUGUUGUGAUAGACUCUUUUUUUUUUUUUUUUUUGAAAGCGAAGUACCUUAAUGAAAGCAUUAUUAUAACAACACUUUAAGAACUUGGGCGUAUGGGCAAUGUAAGAACAAUGAAUGACACAUUUUUCACUAUAAAAAUUCAUAAAAGAUCUUAGUUUGGAAAAAGCCCCCACCCUCUGCUCAAAGUAGAACCAAGUAGAUGAAGUUGUUCAGGAAGCCGGUCAGCUGAAUUUUAACUGUAUCCAAUGGUGGAGGUUCUUCAACCACAUGACUUCCAGCAUUCAUGGCCCUGUGGAUAGCACAGCAGACUGACACCUGCAUCCAGUUCCAGUGGCCUUAGUAAGCUCCUUGUUCCAAGCCUCUCACGUGACACCAGAUGAUCCCAUUUCUCCGUUCGUAAAACUUGAAUUACUAUCCAAAUCUACUGCAUAAUGCACUCUGAGAUGUAGCUUGUAUUGUUGCAUUAGAAACACUACUUAAACAGCAGUGUGUUUAAAGACACCAUUGUUCCAGAAUACACAUUUUUUAAGUUUCUGGCUUCCUCCAUGGGAAGAAUGAAGGCAAAGAGGGAAAGACACAUUUUACACAAGCCUGUAGAAUACUUAGAGCAGUUUCAGUGGCCUCUGCUGGUGUAGGCCUCAGCUACUGGCUCUUUCAACACCUGGCUCCUUUUUCACGGCUGGUUCUGGUGAUCUUCAGUAUUCAGGCUGAAUAGUUCUCAGUCAAUACUGACUUGCUCUUUCUGUUAUGUUCUCAGUAUUUCACUUAGAGUGUGUGUUCAUUUUGGUCACUUUAUUCUCAUACUUUAUAUUGAAAUCAUCCUUUUUGAAAAGGAUUAUUCUCAUGAGAAGCAGUAAAGACUCAAUCUCCUAUCAGUAUGAAUGACUUAUGCCUAGAAGUUCACAAGAUAACUCCUGCUGUGGAUGAUAGAACCACUUGCUAGUAAUUCUAAUUCUGCUCUGACAAAGAAGUUCAUACAGAAUAUAUCCACAUGGAGUAUUAGGUGUAUUCUUCCUCCUGUCAAAACUAUUUAGCAUCUGCAAGCAAAAAUCCCUAAAUUUUCUUUCUGCAACUUUUGCUUCUGCUUGGAUUUUUAAGACACUUCCUUGAAUUUCUCUGUCUUGUAUUGGUUCCUUUCCAGAUGCAUUUGAAUUAGCAUGAAUUUUCAACACGAUGAGAUGGGAUUUAGACAGCACAGCGACGAAUAGGAGUAAAUUGAGUUUAGUUUGCCUGUCACAAAUGUACCUCAUUUCAAAGAAUAGCACCUCGUGGGACAAGUUAAUGUCUAAAAUUAAGGAUUUCUCCAAAAUGAGGCAGAAGAAUGAUACAGUGUUUAAAAACACCAGGAGUGGGACCAUAGGGCUGCUCCUUUGCCAUCUCUUCCUCAGAGAUCUCGAAGAAGCCCAGUGCACCUUCACUUUCUGACCUUUGACACGCCAAUGAUAAACUGCCUCUAUCUCGGUGCUGUGAGGCUUAGCACUGGGCCUCAAAACACUGUGAUGGCCUUUCAUUUGUAAGGACUGUAAAACUGCACGGCUGCAUGUGAAUGAUUUAUUAAGAUUGUACCCUGGAUGUUGCCCCCCCCGGAUACUACUUUGGCAUUGCACACGCUCUUACAUCUCUUCAUGAAGAGAGACCACAGUGAUAGCCAUGGCUGGCUCUGCACUCAGGGCCUGUGAAGCAGCCACAGCCCCUAGGAGUGACGGAGGCACAGAGGUGCAGCUCACCGCCCUCAGUCCCGGCAGCGAAGCCCCGAGAGGAACGCGAUGUCGCUGCUGAUGGGGCGAAUGGCCGCGAGGUGCCUGGGCCGGGCGGGCCGCUCGCACCUAGGCCCGGCGGGGCUUUCCUGACCCGCACACGGCGAGGUACUUUCCCCGCCGCUUAACCUUUGCGUUACUCCCACUUCGCCCCAUGGGGCGGAAACUCCGAGCAGAACUCGGGGAGGACGAGAGGAGCGACCAAGGAGAGGCCGAGUGGCCGUUCCCGAGGCGUGGGUAAGAGUUGCCCGCUGCCGGCGCGCUCCGGCGGGAGCACAGCUCACAGCUCGCCGCACCCCGCUCCCCGCUCCCGGCCUGCGCC
This is a long non-coding RNA of Gallus gallus (chicken), 3462 nucleotides long. The record is from Ensembl. Lineage: Eukaryota; Metazoa; Chordata; Aves; Galliformes; Phasianidae.